GGAGGUCCACCGUACUCGUGCAGAAAAAAAGGCCUUGUUUAGUUCACCCCCAAAUCCCAACUUUGGCACUAUGCAAAAAGAAGAUUCCCCAUCACAUCAAACUUGCGGUACAUGCAUGGAGUACUAAAUAUAGACCAAAUUAAAAACUAAUUGUACAGUUUUGUUGUACUUUGCGAGAUGAAUCUUUUUAGCCUAAUUAGUCAAUGUUUGGAUAAUAAUUUACAAAUACAAAUGAAACGCUACAGUGUUACUACAGUAAUUUUGGCAUCCCAAAGUUGGACAACUAAAUAAGGCCAAAAUACACUACAAAUGUACCGUCUCUUCUCUUCCCAACCAUUUCGAAUGCAUUUGAACGUCUCUCUCCGCUCCCGUCUCCACCCUCUCUCUC
Molecule: long non-coding RNA, 388 nt
Filed under: Setaria viridis
Lineage: Eukaryota; Viridiplantae; Streptophyta; Magnoliopsida; Poales; Poaceae
Description: long non-coding RNA (SVIR_LNC000384)
Source: RNAcentral